AGAGUUUGAUCAUGGCUCAGAUUGAACGCUGGCGGCAUGCCUUACACAUGCAAGUCGAACGGCAGCACGGGAGCAAUCCUGGUGGCGAGUGGCGAACGGGUGAGUAAUAUAUCGGAACGUGCCCAGUCGUGGGGGAUAACGUAGCGAAAGCUACGCUAAUACCGCAUACGAUCUACGGAUGAAAGCGGGGGAUCGCAAGACCUCGCGCGAUUGGAGCGGCCGAUAUCAGAUUAGCUAGUUGGUGAGGUAAAGGCUCACCAAGGCGACGAUCUGUAGCUGGUCUGAGAGGACGACCAGCCACACUGGAACUGAGACACGGUCCAGACUCCUACGGGAGGCAGCAGUGGGGAAUUUUGGACAAUGGGCGCAAGCCUGAUCCAGCAAUGCCGCGUGCAGGAUGAAGGCCUUCGGGUUGUAAACUGCUUUUGUACGGAACGAAACGGUCUGNCCUUANUACGGUGGGCUAAUGACGGUACCGUAAGAAUAAGCACCGGCUAACUACGUGCCAGCAGCCGCGGUAAUACGUAGGGUGCGAGCGUUAAUCGNAAUUACUGGGCGUAAAGCGUGCNCAGGCGGUUAUGUAAGACAGAUGUGAAAUCCCCGGGCUCAACCUGGGACCUGCAUUUGUGACUGCAUAGCUAGAGUACGGUAGAGGGGGAUGGAAUUCCGCGUGUAGCAGUGAAAUGCGUAGAUAUUGCCGGAGGAACACCCGAUGGCGAAAGGCAAUCCCCUGGACCUGUACUGACGCUCAUGCACGAAAAGCGUGGGGGAGCAAACAGGAUUAGAUACCCUGGUAGUUCCACGCCCUAAACGAUGUCAACUGGUUGUUGGGUCUUCACUGACUCAGUAAACGAAGCUAACGCGUUGAAAGUUGAACCGCCUUGGGGGGUUACCGGCCGCAAGGUUUGAAAACUCAAAGGAAUUGACGGGGACCCGCACAAGCGGAUGAUGUGGUUUAAUUCGAUGCAACGCGNAAAACCUUAACCCACUUUUGACAUGUACGGAAAUUCGCCAGAGAUGGCUUAGUGCUCGAAAGAGAGCCGUAACACAGGUGCUGCAUGGCUGGUGGUCACUCGUCUUUAGAGAANUGUUGGAUUAAGUCCCGCAACNAGCNCAACCCUUGUCAUUAGUUGCUACAUUUAGUUGGGCACUCUAAUGAGACUGCCGGUGACAAACCGGAGGAAGGUGGGGAUGACGUCAAGUCCUCAUGGCCCUUAUAGGUGGGGCUACACACGUCAUACAAUGGCUGGUACAAAGGGUUGNCAACCCGCGAGGGGGGGCUAAUCCCACAAAGCCAGUCGUAGUCCGGAUCGUAGCCUGCAACUCGACUACGUGAAGUCGGAAUCGCUAGUAAUCGUGGAUCAGAAUGUCACGGUGAAUACGUUCCCGGGUCUUGUACACACCGCCCGUCACACCAUGGGAGCGGGUUCUGCCAGAAGUAGUUAGCCUAACCGCAAGGAGGGCGAUUACCACGGCAGGGUUCGUGACUGGGGUGAAGUCGUAACAAGGUA
Molecule: ribosomal RNA, 1511 nt
Filed under: uncultured beta proteobacterium
Lineage: Bacteria; Pseudomonadati; Pseudomonadota; Betaproteobacteria
Description: bacterial SSU rRNA
Rfam family: Bacterial small subunit ribosomal RNA
Source: RNAcentral